GGAGGAGGUGACACAGAAGCUGAUGUCACAGCUAGCCUGAACAGGUUCAGAGAAAGGGAGAGCAGGGACAGACAGUUUGGGGCAGCACUGGGACUGGAGGUUGGACUGACCCGGGUGGGGGGCUUAUAAGUUCAUGAGGUGCAGGCAGAUCAGGAGGAAAGUGAGGUGGGUAGUGGGUUCCUGUGCUGUUCUGAGCACCACAGGGGCUUUGUCUGAGAAGAUGAAGUGAUGUGGAAUUUCCCUCUGUAUGCUGUGAUUACCAUUAAUGAAUAAAGAAACUGCUUUGGACCUAUAGCAGGGCAGAACUUAGGUAGGUGGGGAAAACUAAACUGAAUGCUGGGAGAAAGAAAGGUGGAGUGGGAGAGAAGCUAUGUAGCCCCGCUGGAACCAGACGGACCUUUAGCAGGUUCUGCGGAGUGUAAUCAGCGACGAUGAUCUCCCGGAAGACCUCACAUGCUGAAAGCAGCUGGUAGAUGGUGGGGCCAGUGCCAAUGUCGAUCAGGACAUCACCCCUUAUACCUCCUGUGGAGAUAGCAGGGGCAGGUCUGAGUAUCCUGACUCCACAUCCUGCUAACUGUAUGGAGAACUCCAAGCCUCAUUAGGGUGUGCCAGAUUUUCAGAGAGAUGCAAAGUCCUAGACCAUCUGGAGAGCUCUCUGGAAGGUCUGUGGUGGCAGAGGAGGGUGGAGCAGCUUUGGGCUCAUGCUCAUAUCGUCACUUCUCCCAGCAGUCACCUAGGGGCUCUACAAAUCUGGCAUCCCCCUCGAAUUUUACAAGUGGAGCACCUGAGGCAGAUCACGGCUGCAAGCUCUCGAAGCAAGGCUCCCCUGGACCAACACACAUGCCAUCUGGGGACCCUGGGGGCUGCCAGGCUGGUCACCUCUGCAGCAUCUGUACGUACAGGACAGGCUCUUGGUGUUGGCACGGCUCCAUACCCUUCCCAGCGGGGACUUCAACCACUCACCCAUAGAGAAGGUCUGGUGAAGGUUCUGCAGGCUAAACUUGAUGAUUUCCCGUUCUGCCACCGGGCCUGAGUCAAAGUUGUAGAAGGUGUCCAGGUAGUCUCGGGGACUGAACUCCUUCUCGUAGUCCUCACCACCCUGGUACACCUUGCCCUCCAUUCUGGUCAGCCUGGUACAGCUGUCUGUACUCCCCUUGCCCCUGCAGAGUACCCACCCUUUCCUGUCACACCUAUUAUAUAAUCUCCUUGAGCAGAUCUCCCUUCUUGGGGAGGAGCUAGAGUCCCUGCAGUGAUAUCAGGGUGCUGCUGUCAGAUUCCUGGCUGGGUAUCAUUUUUGUGACAGAGGAGUGUCCCCAGGCCUGUCUUGGGGAAGCGCUCAUCGCUAGUUCUCCAGGGUGGUGUGUUUGUUCCCCGGGGGGGUGCUGCUUGGGAGAGGGAGAGAAUUACAGAGGGACAGAGAGGAAGAGCAGAGAGACCAGGGUCUGCUCAGCGAUGCUUUGCUCUUGGGGUUGAGAGCAGAGGGUGGGGACUCAGGGCCAGGUCCCUGGCCAAAACAUUCAACAUCCUGGGCUUCAUCUGUGCUAUAGCAAAUAAAACAAGAACCAAAGAGGAGUGCUUCCUGGGAUGGGGAAGUAGGAUCUGAGAUUCUCGAAAUUUCUCCGCUAUUCAGUGAAUUUGCCUUUGCAAACAGUUUGCCUGUAACUGAGUUAAUGAUUCCCUGGGGGGUUUAAUCUUGUUUUCUCACUCAGCUUAAUGUUUUCUUUUUUAUUAGCUCAAGAGUAAACUUUGACAGCACUUCCCUAAAUCAUCAGGCCUGUGCUGGUUGGUACUCCCUGUAUUUGGACAAACAAUUGAAAAAGUGUCAACAUACGUGAGAAGGUGCCGUCACUCUGCACAGACUUCCACAUACCCCUGCACACAGGUGGUCCCAUGUGCACGUUGCCCCCCCCCCCUCCGGCCCCAGGAUUGUUAGGUUGCUUGUAUCUGGUGUGGUCUGGUCUAGUUGCCUUGAAAGAUGAUGCUCCAGUUUGUUUUUAUUCUGUUGCUAUGGUAAACACCAUGACCAAAAUCAACUUGGGAAGGAAAGGAUUUAUUUGAAUUUUUUUGUUGUUGUUGAUCAGUCAGUCCAUCGUUGAUGGAAGUCAGGACGUGAACUGAAGCAGGAGCAGGGGCAGACCUUGAAGGAACACUGCUUACUGGCUUGCUCAACCUGCUUUCUUAUACAACCCAGUUCUUCUGGCCAAGAGGUGGCACUACCCACAGUGCCCUGGGCUCUCCUAUCAAUCAUUAAUCAAUAAAAUACCCCACAGAGCAGUCUGGUGGAGGCCAUUCCUCACUUGAGGUUCCGACUUCCCAGGGGGUUGGUAUGUGUUAGGUUGGCACAGCUGCUACACCAAAGGGAAGGGGAGCAUUGACAGAGGAUGCAUGUACUUUUGCACCGUGGCAGGGACUCCGCAACGAUCACAAGAUGGAGAAAGAAAAGCUUGCCCAUCCAAAAGUCACCUAAGGGCAUCUGGACAGCAAACUUCAGAGCUGGUUGCCCAAGGGCAAGCAUGGGGUGCAGGUGUCACAGCUUGGGCAAAGUUCAUAACACCAACCGUCUACUAUGUGACAGGGGUCUGCUGUCAUCUUCACAGCAAUCUUCCAGGUAGAUGCCCUGUCAACAACAAGGAAGGGGGCAGCGUGAUGUCCAAGGCCACUCUGGUAGCAGAGGAGGCCAAGACGCCAGAUUAAUGUUCAAGGUUUUAUGCCCAAAGUGGGAACACAGACCUAUGAUGAGUCUCAUCCUGUUUCAUCACCCCGAGUCCUCUCCCAUGCUCUCUGCCAUUCACCUGGGAACCCAGUGAUAUAAUCUGAGCCCUGGAUCUCCCAGCAUGCCCUUAGACACCAUCCUUCAAGCCAGAAGAAAGAGACCAGCUACCCAGAAUGGAAGAUGAUCUCCCAGGCUAUCUAGAGCUUGGGAACACAUCUCCACAGGAUGUAAACUCACUCGAACCCACCUUUUGUUGUCGUCGUUCUUGUCCUGUUCAUUGUGGGAUGCACAAGAUUCCCCUUUCCUGGAAUUCACAGAGCCUGGACUCUGGUGUUUCUGCUCUGUAAGAGUGGUACUGCACAGCAGUUCCUCUGGGUGCAAGAAGUGCAAUUAGCUACCUACUCAAUUUAUCUAAGAAGGAUUGAAGCAAGGAUCGGAGGAAGCUAAAUCCUAGUGGGUUGAUGUGAAUGAAGACACGGAAGGUGUGACAUUUGUCUAGGGUUUCUCAUAUCUGCCCCUGACACUUGCACCUGUGCACUUGUGCAAAGAUCCCUUCCGCCCUCUGCCCGCAUGUGUCUGGGAUGGCCCCCUGAAUAUGUUAGCUGUGCUCCCUGGCAUUCAACAGUUGAAAUUCAAGCAGCUGCUGUGAUUGAUGGAACCUGUGAUUAGGGUCUGGCUUUUGACUGGGUUUUUACGUAUGUGGUGAUUGAGUCAAGGCUUGAAAACUUUCAGUAUAAACAAUUUCGUCAAAGA
Long non-coding RNA from Arvicola amphibius (Eurasian water vole), 3466 nucleotides. RefSeq lists it as uncharacterized. NCBI's taxonomy places the organism in Eukaryota, Metazoa, Chordata, Mammalia, Rodentia, Cricetidae. The transcript is spliced from 3 exons. The record is from RefSeq and is a predicted model, not a curated record.